CCAACUUUUAAACUAUUAUACUUGCUCUAUGUUAGAAGCACAAAACGAAUGUCAAUGAGUCAUUAAAAGCUAUAAAUAGCUUUUAGUGACAAAUUUACGUUCUGCUUGACAAAUAACUCUGAAUCUUAUUCUUUUAUUGUAUUUAAAGACGGAGAACAACUUCUGCGACGAAGACUCAAUUGUCGUCAAUCUUUUAUAAAUACGGAAAUUCCUGUUAUAUAAGGUGUUGGGGAAUAAAUAAAAUAUGAAUAUAAAACUGGCAACAACAAUCGAACUACAAAUUUUAAGUAAAUGGUUUCAAUUUAUUAUAUUCAAUCUAUUCGGACAUAACAAACUAUCCAACAUUUAAUCCUACACAGGACUCAAGUUUACUUUGUUCACAGUGAAAUAAAUAUGCCGUAUUUAUUCCACUAUAUAAAUAUCAUAUUUGCUGUACGGCGAUUGGCGUAACAGGAGAUCAACAAAAUUUGUCAAAACUAUUGACGUAUAUAGUUGACAAAACUUAUAAUAUAUAAGAAUCUAAAUAACCAAACAUCCCUUAAGCAGUUAUAGACUAAUUUGAUAACCAUUUUAUGCCUAAACUCAACAUAAAUUACGAGAAAUUCAUUUUACGGCAGAUGAAACAGUUACGUAUGGAAUCAACUCACCAAUUUUUUAUUUAACUCAAGAAACAAGCAAAGAAAUGUAACUCUGACAACGCAAACUUAUGCAUAUUAUUACAAAUAGAUCUUUUAACAGCGAUCAAACAACUUUGAACCGUCUUUUAUUCCAAAGUACAGUUGGUAGUUAUGCUGCAAUACAACAACAUAGAAGACGUUAUUAACUAUAUUCACAAGAAAAUGGAACCUUAUAAAGGUGACAACGAGGAAGAUGUUAUAUCGCAAUUAAAAGAGGAGAACAACUAUCACGAGGAAGACUCGAGUGCGGCUAACCUUAUAUAUAUACGGAAAUUCUUAUUCUAAUGAGGGACGAUUUGGGCUGCAUAUCAUAUCAAUUGACGGUUAUUUAAAAAACUCUUGGAUAGACUAAGAGUAAGGCAAGUUCCAUGACGCAUUUUGAUUAAAUUUAAUAUAUAGAAAAUAAUAUAAUUUUUUUAUUUCAAGGAGUACUACUUGAAAAAACUACGUAAGUGAAACCAUAAAGUUUGCAAUUAGCACCAGGUUCAUUUUCAAAUACAGAAAACUGUAAUUCACGAACGUCAAUAAACAAUGCUUAUUGACGUUCGUCAAUUAAAGUUUUCUGUAUUUGAAUUUUUACUGUUUAUUUAUA
Long non-coding RNA from Hydra vulgaris (swiftwater hydra), 1269 nucleotides. RefSeq lists it as uncharacterized. The record is from RefSeq and is a predicted model, not a curated record. NCBI's taxonomy places the organism in Eukaryota, Metazoa, Cnidaria, Hydrozoa, Anthoathecata, Hydridae.